RNAcentral lists this ribosomal RNA (253 nucleotides) under uncultured bacterium. RNAcentral's name for it is "partial 16S ribosomal RNA". It matches the Rfam family "Bacterial small subunit ribosomal RNA", at positions 524 to 776 of the family's 1533-position model. The record is from RNAcentral.
UACGGAGGGUGCAAGCGUUAUCCGGAUUCACUGGGUUUAAAGGGUGCGUAGGUGGGUCUGUAAGUCAGUGGUGAAAUCUCCGAGCUUAACUUGGAAACUGCCAUUGAUACUAUCUGUCUUGAAUACCGUGGAGGUCAGCGGAAUAUGUCAUGUAGCGGUGAAAUGCUUAGAUAUGACAUAGAACACCAAUUGCGAAGGCAGCUGGCUACACGAAUAUUGACACUGAUGCACGAAAGCGUGGGGAUCAAACAGG